Molecule: transfer RNA, 66 nt
Filed under: Coptotermes gestroi
Lineage: Eukaryota; Metazoa; Arthropoda; Insecta; Blattodea; Rhinotermitidae
Also listed under: 1 other name
Description: tRNA-Leu
Source: RNAcentral
UCUAACGUGGCAGAUAAGUGCGGUGGAUUUAAGCUCCAAAUAUAAAGUCUAGAACUUUCAUUAGAA